This 578-nucleotide long non-coding RNA is filed under the name Homo sapiens (human). Its description in RNAcentral is "HSALNT0158064". Lineage: Eukaryota; Metazoa; Chordata; Mammalia; Primates; Hominidae. The record is from RNAcentral.
CCACAGCCUGGGAAAUUCACCUAACUAAACCUAAUGAAGAAAACCUAUGUUGUUGGUAACCAAAUACUGAGUUGGAGAUCAGAGCUCAGAUUCCUGCUCUAAGUUAUCAGCAAAAGCGUUCUAGGAUAUAUAAGCAGACAAGGAGGGUCUCUAGGAACCAUAGGAGUUUAAUCCACGUGAGCCAUCAGCCUGAUUUACAGCUUCCUGCCCUGCAGCCUGUUCUUCCCUAAACCCUGGGUGGACUAUAGUAACCUAGUUGGUUGAAACCAGCUCCUGACAGACCCUGGCAACUUAGAGAUGAACCCUGGUGAAUCUUCCUCAUGACUGUAACGUCUCCAUCCUGGAGGAACUGUAGUUCCGUUAUCAUAACAUGUAACCCAUGUGUUGCCAUGAUGACACUGUGUCUGCACCGCUGGGACCCCUCAUCUACAUGCGAUAAUGCACCCUCUCCCCUCUCCAUCACCCCAUAAAACCCUCCUGCCACUUUCCCUCAGGGAGACACUGCUUUGGAGAAUACACCCAGUGCUCCCCUUACUUGAGCCAAGUAAUAAAACUCCUAUUGAUCAAAAUCUGCAUUC